GUGCCAGCCGCCGCGGUGAUACGGAGGGGGCUAGCGUUGUUCGGAAAUACUGGGCGUAAAGCGAACGUAGGCGGCCUGGCAAGUCAGGGGUGAAAUCCCAGAGCUCAACUCUGGAACUGCCUUUGAAACUGCUAGGCUUGAAUCCUGGAGAGGCGAGUGGAAUUCCGAGUGUAGAGGUGAAAUUCGUAGAUAUUCGGAAGAACACCAGUGGCGAAGGCGACUCGCUGGACAGGUAUUGACGCUGAGGUUCGAAAGCGUGGGGAGCAAACAGGAUUAGAAACCCGAGUAGUCC
This 292-nucleotide ribosomal RNA is filed under the name uncultured bacterium. Its description in RNAcentral is "partial 16S ribosomal RNA". It matches the Rfam family "Bacterial small subunit ribosomal RNA", at positions 505 to 796 of the family's 1533-position model. The record is from RNAcentral.